AGCCACCCUGCUGGCCUGAUCACUUCUUGUCCAAUCCUAUUGCUAUUGAUUUUGUUCAUGCAAGAUCUCUUAAAUUUCAUGCAAUAGAAAUUAUUUUUUCUUUGGUGAUCAAUGGCAUCAAUCUCUCUCUCUCUCUCUCUCUCUCUCUCUCUCUCUCUCUCUCUCUCUCUCUCUCUCUCUCUCUCUCUCUCUCUCUUUCUCUCUCUCUCUUUCUUUCUUUCUUUCUUUCUUUCUUUCUUUCUUUCUUUCUUUCUUUCUUUCUUUCUUUCUUUCUUUCUUUCUUUCUUUCUUUCUUUCUUUCUUAUAGAAGCCACAUAAUGCAUAUUAUCUUGAAAUUGAAUUCUUCAGAUGAUCAGCUCAUCUUUUCUGUUCCCCACUCCCAUCCCCACAGGUGAUCACAUGACCAGAUCCCCAUGCUGCUCAUUUUCUCAGCCCUACCUCAUUAUGGCCAGUCACAUGCCAGAGACCACUUCGUAAGGGACAUAAACAGAAAAUAGGGAGCCACAGGGAAUUUAUACAGCAAGAAAAUAACCCAUAGCAUCAGAGAAAAGCAGUCUAAAUCCCCCUCAGAUAUUGUCCCUAAUGCUGCCUUUUGUAAUCUCUCUCCUCUUUCCUGAGCUCCAAUUCUCCCUUCACUAAAAUUUUUGGAUUUUCUUAUAACAGGACUGUUGAUACACCAGCCUGUAUUUCAAGAUGCCUUUCAUCUCUUUAGACACAAAUACUGUUCCAGAGCUCCACCUACUUGGGAACAUCCUUCUUGUUGCCUGCUCCACCCCUACAAUGUGGGCACCUGCUAUUGCAAAGUCACUGCCCUGACUUUCUCCACAUUUCUUAACUUUCACUUUAGGUAGAACACAGAGCAAUGGACCCUCUCUAGGAGAUGUCCUCUGGGUGCCACGGUAAGCACUAUCAUGGAUGUUUUGUGUGAUCUUCUGCAAGCCACCUUUUGUCUUUUGGCUAUUUUCUCUUUGAUUGAAUAUGUAGAUUGGAUGAAUGUGGAGUGGAAUAUAGUGGUGGGGUGGGGGAAUGUUGGACUUGAUAAUUUCCAAAGUUCCAUCCAUCCUUGAGACUCCACAAUAUUAGGAUUCCCCUCUCUCUCACUCCCUACCCCAUACCUUCCCAGAGGAAAUGGAUCAGAAAAACAUGAGUGAGAGAGGCUUUAGAGAGGAAUUUCUAAGAGAUCUAUGGAGGCUGGUGGGAGAGGGUUGAAUCUGUGUGAAUUCAUGGGGGGAUCCUGGUUAUCAGAGCACAGAUGAAGAAUUAGAUAAAGUGUUAGAAUCAAAUAAUACUAGGCUCAUAUCCACCUUGUGACAAUAAUUCUGUGACUAUUGGAAAAUCUUUUAAAAUUUCUGAUACUUGUUUCCUCAUCUUUAAAAUUGGGAUGAUGAAUUCUAUAAUGCCUCUCUCAGAAUUGUUAUGAGAUCCAUUUGAGAUAUUUUCUAUAAAAUGCUUUACAAAUUCCUAAUUCAAAUUCAAAAUUGACUACUAUUAUUAGAGAAAAAACAACUAUGAAACUCUUCUCUUCAUGAGAUGCAAGGCCAAAGAGUAAAAUUCAGAUACUUCCAAAUAAGAGCUAUGUCCAGGAACAGUUGAUCCCUAAUAGAACUUGCAAUUCUUCUGACUUUGUAAUGCACAAGAGGCCUCUGGACCAACAGGAGGCUAAAGGAGAUUGGGGACUGAAGUCACCUCAAGACCAAGGAGAUUGAGGGAACUCAUUGGAUAAGCAAUUGAAAUAAUAGGGGGAAAGGGGUACUGUCCAGGACCCCAAAAUGUGGUCAGAGCAAGGAAUAAAUGGUAGUAUGACAGUGGAAGAAGCA
Long non-coding RNA from Monodelphis domestica (gray short-tailed opossum), 1817 nucleotides. Lineage: Eukaryota; Metazoa; Chordata; Mammalia; Didelphimorphia; Didelphidae. The record is from Ensembl.